GCGUUGUCCGGAAUUACUGGGCGUAAAGAGCACGUAGGCGGCUAUAAAAGUCAGAUGUGAAAAACCUGGGCUCAACCGAGGGUAUGCAUCUGAAACUAAAUAGCUUGAGUCAAGGAGAGGAGAGCGGAAUUCCUGGUGUAGCGGUGAAAUGCGUAGAGAUCAGGAAGAAUACCAGUGGCGAAAGCGGCUCUCUGGACUUGAACUGACGCUGAGGUGCGAAAGCGUG
Molecule: ribosomal RNA, 226 nt
Filed under: uncultured bacterium
Lineage: Bacteria
Description: partial 16S ribosomal RNA
Rfam family: Bacterial small subunit ribosomal RNA
Source: RNAcentral